This 253-nucleotide ribosomal RNA is filed under the name uncultured bacterium. Its description in RNAcentral is "partial 16S ribosomal RNA". It matches the Rfam family "Bacterial small subunit ribosomal RNA", at positions 524 to 776 of the family's 1533-position model. The record is from RNAcentral.
UACGUAGGUGGCAAGCGUUGUCCGGAUUUAUUGGGUUUAAAGGGUGCGUAGGCGGCCUAUUAAGUCAGUGCUGAAAUAUCCCGGCUUAACCGGGAGGGUGGCAUUGAUACUGAUGGGCUUGAGUAGAGUUGAGGUUGGCGGAAUUGACGGUGUAGCGGUGAAAUGCUUAGAUAUCCGGAGGAACACCAGUGGCGAAGGCGGCUUCCUGGACCGGUUCUGACACUGAGGAGCGAAAGCGUGGGGAGCGAUCCGG